UACCUGCAGCUCAAGUGGUGGCCGCUAUUAUUGGGCCUAAAACGUCCGUAGCCGGUUUAUUAAAUGCCUGGGUAAAUCGUGUAGCUUAACUAUACGAAUUCCGGGUAGACUGGUAAACUUGAGAUCGGGAGAAGUUAGAGGUACUCCUGGGGUAGAGGUGAAAUUCUGUAAUCCUAGGGGGACCACCAGUGGCGAAGGCGUCUGACUAGAACGGGUCUGACGGUGAGGGACGAAGCCCUGGGGCGCAAACCGGAUUAGAUACCCGGGUAGUCCAGGGUGUAAACGCUGCUUGCUUGAUGUUAGUCGGGCUCCGAGCCCGAUUAGUGUCGGAGAGAAGUUGUUAAGCAAGCUGCCUGGGAAGUACGGUCGCAAGACUGAAACUUAAAGGAAUUGGCGGGGAGCACAGCAACGGGUGGAGCGUGCGGUUU
Molecule: ribosomal RNA, 428 nt
Filed under: uncultured archaeon
Lineage: Archaea
Description: bacterial SSU rRNA
Rfam family: Archaeal small subunit ribosomal RNA
Source: RNAcentral